RNAcentral lists this ribosomal RNA (301 nucleotides) under uncultured bacterium. RNAcentral describes it as "partial 16S ribosomal RNA". It matches the Rfam family "Bacterial small subunit ribosomal RNA", at positions 509 to 807 of the family's 1533-position model. The record is from RNAcentral.
CAGUAGCCGCGGGAAUACGAAGGGGGCUAGCGUUGUUCGGAAUUACUGGGCGUAAAGCGCACGUAGGCGGCUUUGUAAGUUAGAGGUGAAAGCCUGGAGCUCAACUCCAGAAUUGCCUUUAAGACUGCAUCGCUUGAAUCCGGGAGAGGUGAGCGGAAUUCCGAGUGUAGAGGUGAAAUUCGUAGAUAUUCGGAAGAACACCAGUGGCGAAGGCGGCUCACUGGACCGGCAUUGACGCUGAGGUGCGAAAGCGUGGGGAGCAAACAGGAUUAGAUACCCCCGUAGUCCCUGUCUCUUAUAC